AUUGAACGCUGGCGGCGUGCUUUACACAUGCAAGUCGGACGGCAGCAUGAUCCGCAAGGGUUGAUGGCGAGUGGCGGACGGGUGAGUAAUGCAUCGGGAGUAGUCCUAUAGUGGUGGAUAACCAAUUGAAAGAUUGGCUAAUACAGCAUGAGCUCUGAGGAGGAAAGGCGGGGAUCUGAGAAGACCCGUUGCUAAAGGGUACACCGAUGUCUGAUUAGCUAGUUGGUGGGGUAAGUGCUUACCAAGGCGAUGAUCAGUAGCUGUUCUGAGAGGAAGAACAGCCAAACUGGGACUGAGACACGGGCCAGACUCCUACGGGAGGCAGCAGUGGGGAAUAUUGGACAAUGGGGGGAACCCUGAUCCAGCAACGCCGCGUGAAUGAAGAAGGCCUUAGGGUUGUAAAGUUCUUUUGUUAGGGAGCAAAGUUUGUGUGUUAAUACCAUACAGAGCUGAGAGUACCUAAAGAAUAAGCACCGGCUAACUACGUGCCAGCCGCCGCAGUAA
Molecule: ribosomal RNA, 504 nt
Filed under: uncultured bacterium
Lineage: Bacteria
Description: partial 16S ribosomal RNA
Rfam family: Bacterial small subunit ribosomal RNA
Source: RNAcentral